CGAGGAACUACUGUCUUCCC
Molecule: unclassified non-coding RNA, 20 nt
Filed under: Orthohepacivirus hominis
Lineage: Riboviria; Orthornavirae; Kitrinoviricota; Flasuviricetes; Amarillovirales; Hepaciviridae
Description: 5'-R(*CP*GP*AP*GP*GP*AP*AP*CP*UP*AP*CP*UP*GP*UP*CP*UP*UP*CP*CP*C)-3' from Hepacivirus hominis (PDB 3TZR, chain A)
Source: RNAcentral